UACGGAGGGUGCGAGCGUUGUUCGGAAUCACUGGGCGUAAAGGGCGUGUAGGCGGUCCGCUAAGUCUGAUGUGAAAGCCCGGGGCUCACCCCCGGAAGGGCAUUGGAAACUGACGGACUCGAGUCCCGAAGAGGAGGGUGGAAUUCCAGGUGUAGCAGUGAAAUGCGUAGAGAUCUGGAGGAACACCGAUGGCGAAGGCAGCCCCCUGGGCUAACACUGACGCUGAGAAGCGAAAGCAUGGGGAGCGAACAGG
This 253-nucleotide ribosomal RNA is filed under the name uncultured bacterium. RNAcentral describes it as "partial 16S ribosomal RNA". It matches the Rfam family "Bacterial small subunit ribosomal RNA", at positions 524 to 776 of the family's 1533-position model. The record is from RNAcentral.